CACUGCCGUCACGCCAUGGAGUUGGUUUUACUCGAAGCAGGUGAGCUAACCGUAAGGAGGCAGCCUACCACAGUAAGGUCAGCGACUGGGGUG
RNAcentral lists this ribosomal RNA (93 nucleotides) under uncultured bacterium. Its description in RNAcentral is "partial 16S ribosomal RNA". The record is from RNAcentral.